This 760-nucleotide ribosomal RNA is filed under the name uncultured Oscillospiraceae bacterium. RNAcentral's name for it is "bacterial SSU rRNA". It matches the Rfam family "Bacterial small subunit ribosomal RNA", at positions 728 to 1502 of the family's 1533-position model. The record is from RNAcentral. Lineage: Bacteria; Bacillati; Bacillota; Clostridia; Eubacteriales; Oscillospiraceae.
ACUGGGCAUCACUGACGCUGAGCUCGAAAGCAUGGGAGCAAACAGGAUUAGAUACCUGGUAGUCCAUGCCGUAAACGAUGAUUACUAGGUGUGGGGGGAUAGACCCCUCCGUGCCGCAGCUAACGCAAUAAGUAAUCCACUGGGGAGUACGGCCGCAAGGCUGAAACUCAAAGGAAUUGACGGGGGCCCGCACAAGCAGUGGAGUAUGUGGUUUAAUUCGACGCAACGCGAAGAACCUUACCAGGUCUUGACAUCGUAUGCAUAGCCUAGAGAUAGGUGAAUCCUUCGGGACAUACAGACAGGUGGUGCAUGGUUGUCGUCAGCUCGUGUCGUGAGAUGUUGGGUUAAGUCCCGCAACGAGCGCAACCCUUAUCGUUAGUUACUACGCAAGAGGACUCUAGCGAGACUGCCGUUGACAAAACGGAGGAAGGUGGGGAUGACGUCAAAUCAUCAUGCCCUUUAUGACCUGGGCUACACACGUACUACAAUGGCCAUCACAGAGAGAAGCGAGACCGCGAGGUGGAGCAAAACUCAGAAAAAUGGUCUCAGUUCGGAUUGAAGGCUGCAACUCGCCUUCAUGAAGCCGGAAUUGCUAGUAAUCGCGGAUCAGCAUGCCGCGGUGAAUACGUUCCCGGGCCUUGUACACACCGCCCGUCACACCAUGAGAGCCGGGGGGACCCGAAGUCGGUAGUCUAACCGCAAGGAGGACGCCGCCGAAGGUAAAACUGGUAAUUAGGGUGAAGUCGUAACAAGGUAACCA